Molecule: transfer RNA, 68 nt
Filed under: Ictidomys tridecemlineatus (thirteen-lined ground squirrel)
Lineage: Eukaryota; Metazoa; Chordata; Mammalia; Rodentia; Sciuridae
Description: Spermophilus tridecemlineatus (thirteen-lined ground squirrel) tRNA
Rfam family: tRNA
About the family: Transfer RNA (tRNA) molecules are approximately 80 nucleotides in length.
Source: Rfam by way of RNAcentral
GGUUGUAGCUCAGUGGUGGAGCGCUUGCCUAGCAUGCAUGAGGCACUGGGUUCGAUCCCCCGGCACCA